AUACUAAAAGUUGGAUAUACUCAAUAGAGAAGGUAUCCACGUCAUUAAAAAAAUUAUCCAAUGAGAAUGCACAAUUCCUUUUAAAUCUGUCAUGUCAUUUGUCACUGAAUCGGACUAAGUAUAUUGGGCUGUAUUGUAUUUCAUGCGGCCAAUUCACAGACAAAGCCAUCUCUACGCCCAAACAAAAUAUCAGACCAAACACGCUAAUCGAGUUCUUCACUAACUUCACUUCGUCUUCGUCUUCCCAAAAACUAAAAACCUUAUCGUCUUUGUGUCUCACCGUUACUUUGUAGUUAAGUCCAUCCAGGUCCUUCAAUCAAUUUUCUUCUUCGUCAUUCCUUUAAUCCUCAUUGAUUUGAUCGUUCUAACUUCCUAUGUUCCUCCUAUAUAAAUACCUCUUCCGACUCUUUCCUUUACGCUCAUUCAACGAAAUCCAUAAAUAUCUCUUCAGAGAACUAUUUUUGGUCAAAAAUAGUUCUGAUCCGGUGUGUUUUCUCUGAUCAUCAAACAUCCACCCUAAACGCCGCUGCUUCUCACUAGCUGACUGCUCGAAUCAUCACAGCACAAGAUCAAGUUCCUAAAGGUGGCUACUCGAUUAUUCUCAAGCCUGAGGAUAGUAGCAGUGCAGCUUGGUUCAUUACAAGAACUGUUGAAAGGUUUUGUUCCUGAGCAACCCAGAUGUCGUAGAACGUGUUUACACUAUGGGAACUGAGAUAACGAACAUGACUUAAAUAAACUGUGUCCAGAACAAUUGGGCAGUAAAUGUAGUAAGUAAGCUUUGGUUUUUAUAUAUACUCUUUUGUUGAAUUGAAAGUUUUAACGUUGGAAUGUAUCAGCAAGUGGAUGAUGAUCAAACUUAUCAGAGAGUACAAAAGGUAUGCUAUAAUGAUGCCGACAGUUUUUUUAAUUCGAAUUACUAAGAUUUUGUUUGCCCCUUGGCCCUUGAUCUUAAAAUUUAACCAAUAUUUGAGAAUAUGGAUUAGGUACCAGGCCAUUACUACUGCUCAACGAGAAGAAAGUUAUUGCCCUUCACAAGUUUACUUAGAACCAAAAUGGUUUCUGGAAUUGAAGGGGUUUUCUUUUCAACUUUUUCUCUGUAGGAAACAAUUAACUCCAUCUUCUUCCAUCUUUGACAGCCUAAUUCUUAUCCAACGCAAGCAAAUCGGUCUACCGCAUCAGAUGAGAACUCUAAGUCACAAGUUAUUCCUAAAAAGAUAGAAAAAUCUAAAGAUUGAAGAGAAGAUGCAGCAGAGAGAUAUGGAGAAGCUGGCAAACAAAAGAGAGAUGUCAGGUUUGAAGUACAAAAGUACCUUCCAGAAUAUGAAUUAGAUUUGAUGGACAAAUGCAAAUGGUAAUUUAUCACCAAGCUACCUAUAUGAAAUUGUCAAAGCUCUCUUUGAAUCUUAGCUUGGGCUGGAGAAGGUAAAUCAGUUUUACUGGACAAUUUAUUUUAAAGUUUUUGCUUCCACAUUGAAGACUCUCCAGCUUACAUAAGGAAUAAUAUGUUUGUCGUGCCGUGUGUUGGAAAAAAAAAUAUCUCUCUCUCAUCUAAUGUGCCUUAAUUGAUAUGAUGUACAAGGUAAAUGACAGAAUUGUGCAGUUGGGAUUAGCCAAGAAAAUCAAGAAUGGGACGUCAAAAAUUGUUCUUGAGAAAGUAAAAGAGGCGAGGGCUGCUGCAUUAUAUGCUCUUAAGGAGCACAUGCCAUGGACGUCCAAACUUUAACACGGUAAAGACAUAGAAAAAUCAGGUGCUGCCUUGGCCGUAUCAUCAGAUGUUAACUUGACCGAUCCAAUUCCUAAUUUUCAUCCUACAUGAGCAAUAAGCAAAAAUAGACAAACAAAAAAAGAAGAAAUUACAAAAGAUAGUGAUGAUGACUACAAUGUGUGUGUAUAUAUGUUUGUGUAAAAUUAUUUCUUGAAAUUAAUUUCAGAUUUAUUUAGAAAUC
Molecule: long non-coding RNA, 1946 nt
Organism: Brassica napus (rape)
Lineage: Eukaryota; Viridiplantae; Streptophyta; Magnoliopsida; Brassicales; Brassicaceae
Exons: 4
Source: RefSeq, a predicted model, not a curated record